This 253-nucleotide ribosomal RNA is filed under the name uncultured bacterium. Its description in RNAcentral is "partial 16S ribosomal RNA". It matches the Rfam family "Bacterial small subunit ribosomal RNA", at positions 524 to 776 of the family's 1533-position model. The record is from RNAcentral.
UACAGAGGUCCCGAGCGUUGGUCGGAUUCACUGGGCGUAAAGGGUGCGUAGGUGGUGAGGUAAGUCGGAUGUGAAAUCUCCGGGCUCAACCCGGAAAUGGCAUUGGAAGCUACCUUGCUUGAGGAUUUGAGGGGGGAUUGGAAUACUUGGUGUAGCAGUGAAAUGCGUAGAUAUCAAGUGGAACACCAGUGGCGAAGGCGGCAUCCUGGACCGACAUUGACGCUGAGGAGCGAAAGCUAGGGGAGCAAACGGG